AUUCCUACGGGGGGCAGCAGUGAGGAAUAUUGGUCAAUGGGAGAGAUCCUGAACCAGCCAAGCCGCGUGAGGGAAGACGGCCCUAUGGGUUGUAAACCUCUUUUGUCGGAGAACAAAACCCGGGACGUGUCCCGGACUGCGUGUAUCCGAAGAAAAAGCAUCGGCUAACUCCGUGCCAGCAGCCGCGGUAAUACGGAGGAUGCGAGCGUUAUCCGGAUUUAUUGGGUUUAAAGGGUGCGCAGGCGGAGGCACAAGUCAGCGGUAAAAUCGCGGGGCUCAACCCCGCUCCGCCGUUGAAACUGUGU
This 305-nucleotide ribosomal RNA is filed under the name uncultured bacterium. Its description in RNAcentral is "bacterial SSU rRNA". It matches the Rfam family "Bacterial small subunit ribosomal RNA", at positions 335 to 638 of the family's 1533-position model. The record is from RNAcentral.